RNAcentral lists this ribosomal RNA (253 nucleotides) under uncultured bacterium. Its description in RNAcentral is "partial 16S ribosomal RNA". It matches the Rfam family "Bacterial small subunit ribosomal RNA", at positions 524 to 776 of the family's 1533-position model. The record is from RNAcentral.
UACGAAGGGGGCUAGCGUUGUUCGGAAUUACUGGGCGUAAAGCGCACGUAGGCGGAUAUUUAAGUCAGGGGUGAAAUCCCGGGGCUCAACCCCGGAACUGCCUUUGAUACUGGGUAUCUCGAGUCCGAGAGAGGUGAGUGGAAUUCCGAGUGUAGAGGUGAAAUUCGUAGAUAUUCGGAGGAACACCAGUGGCGAAGGCGGCUCACUGGCCCGGUACUGACGCUGAGGUGCGAAAGCGUGGGGAGCAAACAGG